RNAcentral lists this ribosomal RNA (466 nucleotides) under uncultured bacterium. Its description in RNAcentral is "partial 16S ribosomal RNA". It matches the Rfam family "Bacterial small subunit ribosomal RNA", at positions 28 to 507 of the family's 1533-position model. The record is from RNAcentral.
GACGAACGCUGGCGGCGUGCUUAACACAUGCAAGUCGAACGGAAAGGCCCUGCUUGCAGGGUACUCGAGUGGCGAACGGGUGAGUAACACGUGGGUGAUCUGCCCUGCACUUCGGGAUAAGCUUGGGAAACUGGGUCUAAUACCGGAUAGGAGCCAUCUUUAGUGUGGUGGUUGGAAAGUUUUUUCGGUGUAGGAUGAGCUCGCGGCCUAUCAGCUUGUUGGUGGGGUAAUGGCCUACCAAGGCGGCGACGGGUAGCCGGCCUGAGAGGGUGUACGGCCACAUUGGGACUGAGAUACGGCCCAGACUCCUACGGGAGGCAGCAGUGGGGAAUAUUGCACAAUGGGCGCAAGCCUGAUGCAGCGACGCCGCGUGGGAGAUGAAGGCCUUCGGGUUGUAAACUCCUUUCGCUAGGGACGAAGCUUUUUUGUGACGGUACCUAGAUAAGAAGCACCGGCUAACUACGUG